CGCUAAUACCGCAUAUUCUGUGAGCAGGAAAGCAGGGGAUCGCAAGACCUUGCGCUGAUUGAGCGGCCGAUAUCAGAUUAGCUAGUUGGUGAGGUAAAGGCUCACCAAGGCGACGAUCUGUAGCGGGUCUGAGAGGAUGAUCCGCCACACUGGAACUGAGACACGGUCCAGACUCCUACGGGAGGCAGCAGUGGGGAAUUUUGGACAAUGGGCGCAAGCCUGAUCCAGCCAUGCCGCGUGAGUGAAGAAGGCCUUCGGGUUGUAAAGCUCUUUCGGCCGGGAAGAAAUCGCACAGGUUAAUACCCUGUGUGGAUGACGGUACCGGAAUAAGAAGCACCGGCUAACUACGUG
This 351-nucleotide ribosomal RNA is filed under the name uncultured bacterium. Its description in RNAcentral is "bacterial SSU rRNA". It matches the Rfam family "Bacterial small subunit ribosomal RNA", at positions 161 to 507 of the family's 1533-position model. The record is from RNAcentral.